GGUGAACGCUAGCGGCGCGCCUAAUACAUGCAAGUCGUGCGCGAAAGUCUGACCCCGCAAGGGGAAGGAUGAGUAGAGCGGCGAACGGGUGAGUAACACGUAGCUAACCUACCCCCGCGACGGGGACAACUCCGGGAAACUGGAGCUAAUCCCCGAUGGUAUUUAGAGCGCAUAAGCGCUUUAAAUUAAAGGCGGCGAUUGCUUCGGCAGUGGCCGCGCGCGGGGAGGGGGCUGCGGCCUAUCAGCUGGUUGGUAGGGUAACGGCCUACCAAGGCUCAGACGGGUAGGGGGCGUGAGAGCGUGGCCCCCCACAUGGGGACUGAGACACGGCCCUGACUCCUACGGGAGGCAGCAUG
Molecule: ribosomal RNA, 356 nt
Filed under: uncultured bacterium
Lineage: Bacteria
Description: bacterial SSU rRNA
Rfam family: Bacterial small subunit ribosomal RNA
Source: RNAcentral